GAAAUGCGAUAAGUAAUGUGAAUUGCAGAAUUCAGUGAAUCAUCGAAUCUUUGAACGCACAUUGCGCUCGCCAGUAUUCUGGCGAGCAUGCCUGUUCGAGCGUCAUUUCAACCAUCAAGCUCUGCUUGCGUUGGGGAUCCGCGUCUGACGCGGUCCCUCAAAAACAGUGGCGGGCUCGCUAGUCACACCGAGCGUAGUAACUCUACAUCGCUAUGGUCGUGCGGCGGGUUCUUGCCGUAAAACCCCCAAUUUCUAAGGUUGACCUCGGAUCAGGUAGGAAUACCCGCUGAACUUAA
This 296-nucleotide unclassified non-coding RNA is filed under the name fungal sp. RNAcentral describes it as "partial contains 5.8S ribosomal RNA, internal transcribed spacer 2, and large subunit ribosomal RNA". The stretch from base 1 to 105 matches the Rfam family "5.8S ribosomal RNA", at positions 50 to 154 of the family's 154-position model. RNAcentral also lists the same sequence under 2 other names. The record is from RNAcentral. Lineage: Eukaryota; Fungi.